This 1411-nucleotide long non-coding RNA is filed under the name Vulpes vulpes (red fox). RNAcentral describes it as "lncRNA (ENSVVUG00000009611.1)". The record is from RNAcentral. Lineage: Eukaryota; Metazoa; Chordata; Mammalia; Carnivora; Canidae.
CUUAAUACUAUUCUAUCUACUUUUAAGACUUGCUAGAAAACUUUCAUUAUAAAAAUGACCCAUAAAUUCAUUAUCCAGAUUUCAUUACUACGAACAUUUUUGUGUGGUUCCAUAUAAUCUUUUCCAUAUUAGUGUUUUAUUUUCGAAAUGCUGCUACAUUCAGUGAGUACUUGUUUCAUUACCUGAUAAAACUUGACAACGUUUGUUUUCACCUGCUGGCCCUUAAAAAGAAGGGAAUAAUCCGAACUUUUGUUAGGGAUAGGGUUUAAAUCCCAAAAUGAAAAUAAAUGAAAAAUGCCUAGAAUACUAAAGUGUUGCAGUGUUGUAACCACCUAGCCCAGUGCCUAGUACUCAGUAAAUAAAUGGAACCUCAGUAAAUGAGCAGAAUUCAGACAUGAUGUGUUAUCAUCAUGACCUCAUAUAUUAGGAAUUUUGACCUCAUAUAUUAGGAAUUCCAGAGUGAAUCCACAUCAUCCUGAGUUGAGACAGAGGUUGCUUUACUUCCUGAGUAGCUUUUGAAUCUUGAGUUUUACAUCAUGGAUGUAGCUAUAGAUUCUCUCACUGCCCCUUUCAUGAAUGGAAGGCUGGCCGUUUUGGGGGGUGAAGGGGAAACUUAUGUCAUUAUCAACUUGUUUGCUUCCUUGCCAAGCCAAGAUCUCCUUCAGGAACCAUAUCUGAGUCACUGGAAAAGCAGAAAAAAGGAGCGGCAACAUUUCAGGACUUCUUGGGUGGAAGAAAGUUGGCAGAGAGAAAGUCCACACUGGAUUGUGAAAAUCCUCCAAUUGUUGUGUAUGGAACACCAUGAAUGGAAAUAUUUUCAGGACAUCCUGAAGCUCUAAAGCUUAAUAUUUACACAUGAUUGCUUGUGGACAAUUUGACUACUUCCAAAGAGGAAAGCCAAGACCUAUUCAGAAGUAGAAGACAGCACUCCAAACAAGGGAUCACCUCAGUCGCUCUGAAGGUAACCUGGCCUUGUUUUUGAUGGAUUGCAAUGAGUAUCUGCCUUUUACAAAACAAUAUGCAAUUGUUAUUAAGAAGCCAAAUGGGUAAAGAAAAAGGGAUUGUAUGCCACUGGGAAUUGGGGAAAUCAAUGAAAACAAAAUCUUGAAAGUUGAUUACCAGCAGUUCUAGUAUUUUACUGCUGGGCUCAACUAGAUUCAGUAAUGAACCUGGUGAAUCUUGAGCUAGUGAAAAGACAGAGUACCUGAGCAGCCACCCUCCAGUAUGUCAGAGAGCAGCAGGGACUCGGGUCCUUGGAUUUCCCGGUGCCUUUUCCUAAGUUAGCUGUUUUUAUUACUGACAGAGAGAAGAAGCAGAAACACAUCACUUUAAAGUAGUGUUUCCCAAACCUAUUGCCCAGACCCCUUUAUACUCUUAAAAACCAAUGAGACCAAAGAGCUUUUUGUUUAUU